UUUGAUGAGAGUUUGAUCCUGGCUCAGGAUGAACGCUGGCGGCGUGCCUAAUACAUGCAAGUAGAACGCUGAAGAAAGAGCUUGCUCUUUUGGAAGAGUUGCGAACGGGUGAGUAACGCGUAGGUAACCUGCCUGGUAGCGGGGGAUAACUAUUGGAAACGAUAGCUAAUACCGCAUAAUAUCUUUGAUUGCAUGAUUGAAGUUUGAAAGAUGCAACUGCAUCACUACCAGAUGGACCUGCGUUGUAUUAGCUAGUAGGUGAGGUAAAGGCUCACCUAGGCGACGAUACAUAGCCGACCUGAGAGGGUG
This 309-nucleotide ribosomal RNA is filed under the name Streptococcus danieliae. Its description in RNAcentral is "Streptococcus sp. ERD01G Bacterial small subunit ribosomal RNA". It matches the Rfam family "Bacterial small subunit ribosomal RNA", at positions 1 to 302 of the family's 1533-position model. Lineage: Bacteria; Bacillati; Bacillota; Bacilli; Lactobacillales; Streptococcaceae. The record is from Rfam by way of RNAcentral.